Molecule: ribosomal RNA, 497 nt
Filed under: uncultured bacterium
Lineage: Bacteria
Description: partial 16S ribosomal RNA
Rfam family: Bacterial small subunit ribosomal RNA
Source: RNAcentral
GAUGAACGCUGGCGGUGUGCCUAAUACAUGCCAGUCGAGCGAACAGACGAGGAGCUUGCUCCUCUGACGUUAGCGGCGGACGGGUGAGUAACACGUGGAUAACCUACCUAUAAGACUGGGAUAACUUCGGGAAACCGGAGCUAAUACCGGAUAACAUGUUGAACCGCAUGGUUCAACAGUGAAAGACGGUUUUGCUGUCACUUAUAGAUGGAUCCGCGUCGCAUUAGCUAGUUGGUAAGGUAACGGCUUACCAAAGCAACGAUGCGUAGCCGACCUGAGAGGGUGAUCGGCCACACUGGAACUGAGACACGGUCCAGACUCCUACGGGAGGCAGCAGUAGGGAAUCUUCCGCAAUGGGCGAAAGCCUGACGGAGCAACGCCGCGUGAGUGAAGAAGGUCUUCGGAUCGUAAAACUCUGUUAUUAGGGAAGAACAAAUGUGUAAGUAACUAUGCACGUCUUGACGGUACCUAAUCAGAAAGCCACGGCUAACUACGUG